GACGAACGCUGGCGGCGUGCUUAACACAUGCAAGUCGAGCGGUAAGGCCCUUUCGGGGGUACACGGGCGGCGAACGGGUGAGUAACACGUGGGUGACCUGCCCUCAGCUCUGGGAUAAGCCUGGGAAACCGGGUCUAAUACUGGAUAUGACUCCAUGACGCAUGUUGUGGGGUGGAAAGCCUUGUGCGGCUGAGGAUGGGCCCGCGGCCUAUCAGCUUGUUGGUGGGGUGAUGGCCUACCAAGGCGACGACGGGUAGCCGGCCUGAGAGGGCGACCGGCCACACUGGGACUGAGACACGGCCCAGACUCCUACGGGAGGCAGCAGUGGGGAAUCUUGCGCAAUGGGCGAAAGCCUGACGCAGCGACGCCGCGUGAGGGAUGACGGCCUCGGU
RNAcentral lists this ribosomal RNA (392 nucleotides) under uncultured bacterium. Its description in RNAcentral is "bacterial SSU rRNA". It matches the Rfam family "Bacterial small subunit ribosomal RNA", at positions 28 to 423 of the family's 1533-position model. The record is from RNAcentral.